CCACUAGCCCAGACAGUGAAGCCAUGGAAGCGACCUCUGUUGCACAUUUUUCAAGCCUCCCUUCUCCAUCCCGAAGGCUUUCUCAGAGAAGGCGGAGG
This is a long non-coding RNA of Gopherus evgoodei (Goodes thornscrub tortoise), 98 nucleotides long. RefSeq lists it as uncharacterized. Lineage: Eukaryota; Metazoa; Chordata; Testudines; Testudinidae. The record is from RefSeq and is a predicted model, not a curated record. The transcript has 2 exons.